Heterocephalus glaber (naked mole-rat) is the source of this 7509-nucleotide non-coding RNA. NCBI's taxonomy places the organism in Eukaryota, Metazoa, Chordata, Mammalia, Rodentia, Bathyergidae. The record is from RefSeq and is a predicted model, not a curated record.
UCCAGAAAUUCGGGCUGGGGAUGCAGCUCAGUGGGAGGAUGCUUAUCUAAUAUGCAGUAGGCCCUGGGUUUGACCCUCAGUCCAGCAACAAACAAAAAGCAAUGUAUUGUCUCACCAUUCCAGAGGCUAAAGUCCAAAACCGAGGUAUGGGCAGAGCCACUCCGGAGCCUGCCUACCUCUCGGGCUCCCUGACCCUGGCACAGCUGCUCAUGCGUCUGUCCUCAUGCAAGGUCUUCUCUAAGUACACUACAGGGUCUCGCUAUGUAGUCCAGGCUGGCCUCGAACUCAAGUUCUAGAGACGAAACCCUAGCCCAGCAUAGGACAGGCAGCCCUGUGCCCCAUUUCACAGAGGAGCCACAGGAGCCCUUGCCCGGCUGUGCGCUGCUCUGCCCACCGCCAAGAGCACCCCGGCAACGCCCCCUUCCAUGUGGCUGGCAGUGCAUCUCCAGGACCAAAUCCUGCAGUGGAGCCGCCAGGUCAGGCUGCAUCGUGCUUGGCGAGAGGUCGCCAGUUCCCCUUGCAGCUUCCGUUCACCAGCGCGGUGAGUCCUGUUUACCACAGCCCGCAGAGGCCAUCGGCCACUUCCGUCCCCAGGUCCAGGAUGUUGUCUCUGCCCUCUCCCCUUCCUCCGGCCUUCCUGCCUCCCCCGCUCCUUCACGGUCUCACUCCUGGGUGCCCUGGCUCCCCGCCUCGGUGGAUCCUGCCGUCGCCACCCCUCCCCGGCACAGGCCUGGAGUGGCAGCAGCUUGGGUGUGAGACGCACUUGGAGUGGCAAAGGCGCGACACUCACAGGCCCAGCUGAGGCGUUGGGAGCCGGAGAGCGAAGGAUGCCGGACGGCGGUGGCGAGGACAGCAGCAGUCCCGAGUUCCAGGACUCGUGCCCGGGCUGAGCGGCCGGUGACACCAGGUAACCUGGCAAGUCCUAUUCACCGAGGCUUUGCGAGUCUCGGGGAGAGGUCCCUGUGAGGUCCCCCACACCCCUGCUUCUCUGUGAGUCAGGGCCCCAUUCUGUGGUCCAGGCUGAACUCCAACUUGCAAUGUCCCUGCCUUGGCUUCCCAGAGUGCCAGGGUUACAGGUGUAUGGCGCCAGCCCCUCCUGGGCUUCUCGAGGGCAGGUGCAAAUGUGGCUCACUCAGGUGACUUCAAAAGGCCUGUGAGCUCCCAGACUACUCAGGAACUGACCUUGGCCUGCAAAUGAUCCCGGUAAGCAGGCCUGGGCCGGAGGGCAGAGGCUGGCAGCUGCCAGGAGAAAGCUCGGGGCUGUCACUGCCCCUCCCACGCGCCUGCAGAGGUGUCGAGGGAGGGAAGAGCGAAGCCUGCCCCCCUCCCCCACCCCGGGACUAUGCAGAUGAGACUCACAGUGCUAUGGAAGCCGAGCUGCUAAGGCUCAGGAGGGAGAGCGGGAAGGGAAGGGAGAGGAAGCCAGGUGGGGGGAGGCAGGGCUUCUGCAGCACCAGGCUAGGGGUCACUAAGUCUGGGGAGGGCCGGAUAGGUCAGGUGCACGGGCACCAGAUUCCUGGAGGCAGAGAGGGGGGCUGGGCUAGCCCUCUCCCCUGUCCCCACCCCCAGGACCCAGCAGGAGCAGCUCUGUGCGCAGUGGGACUUUCCCGGGUGGCACACUCAGGAGGCAGCUGCAGCACAGAAAAGGGGUGGGUUCAGAGGCCAGGUUCAGAGUCAGACAACUUCAGCUGUGUGUGUGUGUGUGUGUGUGUGCAUGCGUGUGUGCAUGCGCAUGCACACGCAGGCCCACAUUCUAAGCACAGGCCAGGCCACGGAGUGCCCACCCAGACCUUGGCUGCUGGUGUAAAAGGCAAUAGUAACUUAGUUAACGCAACAAUGUAUUAAAGCAAGAAUAGCACACAAUGCUCCCAACCUAUGUGCUCCAAAUGGUUCACGCUGCUGAGUUUCACAUCCGGAUAUCCUUCCAGGGAUGCCCCCUGGGCCUGGCCACCCUCCUUCCAUUCGGCCUCCCCGGGGGGCUUGGUGCUCAAGUGCACGGGACAGGGCUGCUCUUAGGUCAGGAUCCGGACGGCGCUGGCUGAGACGCACAAGCAGCUGGCGAGACCUUUCGGUAAGGGAACAGGGCGUGCAGAAUAUAAUGCACAGUGGCUACGUCCAUGGCUGAGCUCUCCACUCCCCACCCCCAGUUCCCGAUUUCCAAGGUAGAAGGUGGUGGGGGCACAAAUGAUGGGGUCCUUGCCAGCCCUGGGCCCACACCAGAGGCCCCAGCCACCUGCCUGUGGCUCUUGGCCAUGGUAACUCUGCAGCAUGAAUGACGCCACUUACCUGCUGCACCAGGCCCAGCUGCUUUGCCUGGGAGUCAGGGGGACCCAUCUGGAGCAGUGCGGUCUGGGCACUGGUGGGACAGCGAGGCCUGCGAAGUGCCAGCCACCUUCGUCUUCUUGUCUUUCCCACAGCAGCCGGGGCCAAAGUUCCCAGGAGCUGGGGCCCUCCCAGAGCCCGCUGUGGGACGCACUGUUCCAGGCCGUGUGGCUCCCCAGGCCCUCUGCCCAGGAGGAGGCAGCUCUGUGCCUCAGGAAAUGGCGGCCUAGCCCCAGGCUCACCAUGGCGGUGGUGGCAGGGGGUCCCUGGGGCCCCCAGCACAGGACUAAGUAGGUUCAGUGAAGCCCAGAAAGAACUGGACUCCAAGCCAGAAGAAUGGCCAAGCCCUGGGCCACUCAAUCUCUGUCCCGUGUUCCUCCUCAGAACAGUGGGCAGCGAUCCCACCCGGUGCUCACCGUCAGGGGUAAAUGUCAGACUGGGUGCCAGGCCCUAGGGUGUCUUCACUCGGCUGUCGUGCGUGUCCGCUGCAUGGUGGGCAGCUACUACUCCUGCCUCGCUUUCCCCCAGACAGGGAGCUCUGUGCACCGAGGGCUCCAGGCCAGGGCUGGCCUUCCCAGGCGAACAGUCCUAUUGCUUCCCAGGGUAAUGGGGAGCCACAGAGGGUAGGAAGUGAGUUCAGUGGGCAAGGAGCCAGCAGCGGCAGACGGGGCACUGAAGGUCAAUCAAUCAGGCCAGUAAGAUGGCAGCAAACCUGGCUGGGUGUACCACAGCGGCGCCCUGUGGAUGUCACCUCCAGCAGCCACCCAUUGUCCCACGGGAGCUGCAGGGAUGGGCUUGUCAUGUAGGGAGAGGACCAGCUCUGAGGACCUGCUUGUGGCCCCUGGGCUGGGCUAAGAUCAGCUGAACCCAAAUGGAGCUGCUGCCUGGGGGCCUCGGAAGGCUGGGGGCAGAGGUACAGGAGACCCCAAAGGGUUGAGGAGCCACCACACCACUAACAGCAGACGGCUCAGUGUCCCUCCCCACAUGCAGAGCCUAAGCCAGGCCCCACUGCUUACAGCUGCCUCUGUCACCCUGGCCAUUGUCCUCUACCCCCGUCAAGUCUGCAUCCUCACCACAGCAGCCACAGGGACCCCAUUAAAGUCAGACCUCCAGUGCCUUCCAGUUCACCCGCAGGAAAAGCUGAAGUCCCUACCCAGGCCCACAAGCUGCCUGUGCCUUGCCCUUCUGCUCAGCCCUCCUUCCACUCACAUUGGUCCCCUGUGUCCCUGGACACACAGAGCCUCCACCAACCCCCAGGUCUUGCUAUGUAGUCCAGGCUGGCCUUGAACUCACUAUGUAGCCCUGGGUGGCCUCCAACUCCCAGCGAUCCUCCUGCCUCAGCCUCCCAUAUGUCAGAGCUUGUCUUUAGAGCUGUCAUUCAGAUUAAAAACUCCAGGACAGCAGGGACUUCCAGUGGCAGAAGCAUUACCCAGGCUCCCGGCAGAUGUUCAGGGAAUGUGACACUCAUGCCGCCUCUCUGCUCAGGGCAGAAACUUGAGGGAAGCGGGGUCCCCAGGCACCCACAGGCAGGGUGCUGCCCCCCUUCCCUCUCGAGUCCCCAAACACAAGGGGAAGGCUCCCGGCGUGUCAGAUCCCUUCAUCUCGAGGGUCAAGGGGGAAAGGGGAGCCUUCCCCUGCUCGCUUGCUCCGGGGCCUCUAUGCCCCCAGACUCUCCUGACCACUGCCCACCCCAGGACACAGAAGCUGGAUCUCCUCUGUCCCUGGGCUGAGGUCAAGGGCUGCUGAACUCCGAAUGGCAGGAGGGCCCCAGAUUUGCCCUCCUGCUCAGCUCCCCCAGGGGAGCCCCACCCUGUGCAGCAGGCCUGAUGGACCUCAGUUCUCAAGGUGCUUAGCUGAGGGCCAACCUCGCACUGCCCACAGCGGGCUUGGGGGUCUCCCCUGCCUGCUUCCUCAUCCGGAACCCCCUCUUCCUACUGGGGAGAACUCACACCCUUCAAGUUCAAAUAUCACCUCCAAGACCAAGGCCUCCCCAGCCACCACCGCCAGCCACCCCGGCUCACCCCACAGUGAAGCCUGAGCUUCCAAGUUCUCUCCUGAGCCCUUGAGGCCAGGCCACUGUGUCCUGCAGUCAGCUGCCUCUGGCUACCAGGUCCACCCUAGGGCAGCAGGAUGCAGGUGAGGGGCCACGGUGUGGCCUUAAGGAAAGCCCUGCAGUUCUCUGGGCCUCAGUCUCGGCCUGUACAAUGGGGUGAGGCGGCACCCACUGUAGGCCCUGAUGGGAUCAGACUGCACAGCUGCCCCUAAGCCCUCUGUGGGCAGUGCGAGGUUGGCCCUCAGCUAAGCACCUUGAGAACUGAGGUCCACCAGGCCUGCUGCACGGGGUGGGGCUCCCCUCGGGGACCUGAGCAGGAUGGCAUAUCUGGGGCUCUCCUGCCACUCAGGGUUCAGCAGCCCGUGACCUCAGCCUGGGGACUGCUGGCCUCUGGCCCCUUCCCACCUCACCCACUGUGGGUUUGGAAAUUCCCAGAGAAGCGGAAGUUUAAGGAGAGGAGCCUGUCGCAGCGAUGACACUUUAAUUAAAUAAAACUGAAAAGCUAGGGCUGGGCUCCAUUUCCCCUUUCCUUCUGGGGGAAGAGGAAGGAGGGUCAAGGUGAAACAGAAGACAAAUUCUUCCCUCAACACCCCUCCUCCCCACAGGGCAGGGCCCUGGGAGCCCUGACAAGCAGAUCCACUGAGCCGGGCCCGCCACCCCACCCCGCUGAAUGGGGCAGCUUGGUGACCCCGAGACCCCCACCCACUCAGGCCCAGCGAGAGUCAGGCCCCGCCCUGCCCCUUAGUGUUGCUGGGUAAAACAGGGCUCCUGAGGUCAGGUUCUCAGGGGCAGCCUGGAAAGGGCCAGUCCACUUCCCCCAGAGGUCAGUCCCCUCAAGGAAAGGCCCUGAGCGUGAGCGCUGAUGCAUGGGUGUCAGCAUGGCUUCCCCCAGCACCAGUGCUGAGCAGCCAGAGCCAGGGUUAGGCAAGGCCCAACCCAACAACAGGUCCCAGACCUCCCUCCCUCAGCUGUUCAGGUCAGGUGUUUUGUCAGCAAUGAAAAGCCAAGGAAUCCAGGCCUCUGUCACCUCCUCUUGGAAGCCACUUCUGGCCUCCCUCCCUUGGGCUCCCGGAGAACCACGUCCACCUCUCCAGAACAGAGGCUUACAACAUAACACUGACCCACUUCCGGGUUCAUUUUCCUGACAUCAGGUCUGGGUCUUUGGCACCCUUGAACCUUGAAUCCUCAAUAACAACCUCAGCCCCCGCCCCCCGCCCCAGUGCCCUUACUCUAGCACUUUAUUUAAUGGCAAAGAGCCAGGCUUCAUGGCUCUGGGACAGAAUGAGAAGUGAGCCACAUUAACUGUCCUUAAGUUGCUUAUGUAUUUAAAAAUCAUAACCAAUCAAUGAGUUUUUGGGUUGUUUUGAACAGUACUGAAGAUUAAACCCAGGGACUCAUGCAUUUCUACCACUGAGUUUACAUUCCGGCCCUUUAAAUUUUUUAUUUUGAGCCACAUUCUCAUUAAAUUGCCUAGGCUGGCCUCAAACUUGUGAUCCUUCUGCCUCAGCCUCCAGAUGAGCUGGGUCACAGGUAUGAGCCACUGCACUUGUUUAGACCGUUCUUGUGUAGGUCAUGGUAACCCACAUUUACAGACUGGGCACUUGUGCGCUUGGCAGGUUCAAGCCCUACGCGUACUUCAUUUAAGACUCACAACAACUCUACAGGCAGGCAUGUUACUGUCUCUGCUUUACAAAUGAGGAGAGUGAGACACUGAGGUUAUCAAGGUCACAAGACAAGGUAAGAACCCAGUCAGUCGGAUUCAGGAGUCUGCAUUCUCAGCUAUCCUAUUAGGAGCAAGAUCCUGAGGGGACAGAGAGCCAGUUAGCCCCGGAGGCGGCGGAGGUGACCCAGAGAUGAGGUUGCCUGAGCAGAGAACUGAAGAGCAAGGGGAAGGGAGCCCAGCAGAUGGGAGAAAGCAGAGGGCUGCUGCGUGCAAGGGAACAGAAACAUGGGACAGCAAGGUGUGAGCAGUGCGUACCCCGAGGCACUCUAUUACUCAAACUUAAGGAACGCGUGAGAAAUUCUAGGGAGCUCUGUAAACUGGGCUAAGGAUUCAGCCUUUUAAAAUAGGCAACAGGAAGCAGUCAGAAUUACAAACAAGGAAGUGAUACAGUCAGAUUUGUGUUCUAAGAUGCAUGCAAGAGUUACAGUAAGGAGACUGGGUUGCAGAGGUCGUGAUUAGAAGCCGCUGCCAAAGCCAAUGGCGCAGGCCUGUGAUCCCAGCACUAGGGAGGCUGAGGGAGGAGGAUCGCUGUGAGUUCCAGGCCAGCCUGCGCUACAUAAUGAGAAACUAUUUUUUUUAAAAAGCUUGUAGGAAGCUACUGCAGUCUCCGGAGAAACACAUCCACAGAGGAGACAGUGGACACAGAGGACAGGGAGAAAGACUGGAGGUUCGGGAAGUUAGCUGUCUGCUAGGUCACGUCUUAGAUGUGGGAACGGAAAAAGAGGAAGUGGAAGGCAAUGCCCGGGUUAAUGCCGGGACAGGGCAGCAGGGAGAGAUCGGUUCAGCUGCAGGGCUGCCCGGCGGCGGACGUGUGCCGCGGGCAACUGCAGGCUGUGUGGAGCCCCGUGGGUCUUUAUCGCAGGAGAGCUGCACCCUGGGGAAGAGGCGGGACCCCGAGUCAGGGCCCAGAGGGCCCGUGAGGGUGCUCUGACGGCGCUCAGAAGCCAGGACGAUUCGGAGCUGGGGCGUCCGUCAGGGACGGCGACGAUCACGCACCUCUAGGACUCGGGGCGGGUACAGGGCACUUUAGAUUACAAAGUUAUUCCCGGCCAUUUCCAAAGGAAGUCGGGAGAGCCAGCAGACGACAGUGAAACGCAGACCUAACGGAACGCGCAUAGGUUUUCUUCCUCGUUCUCAGAUCCUGAGCCUCCCGCAAAGCCCAGAGGCAGCCCCCCGCUUCUCCCGCGUCGGUCCCCGUGCCCCUGCUCCCCCAGCCCUCUCGGGCGCGCAGCCGCCGAACCCCAGUCCCACGCCGCGAGCAGCUCGGUGGAGCAGAGGAAGGGGGCGGAACCCAGAGCGCGGGGGGCGUGGGACGGGUCGGACCCAACCAAGAACGGACACCGGGCGGGGAAUCAGCAUCCGGUGGUGAGAGAUCGUCUUGGUACCGCCCCCGGGCCCGGGACGGCUGGAG